Molecule: ribosomal RNA, 427 nt
Filed under: uncultured Solirubrobacter sp.
Lineage: Bacteria; Bacillati; Actinomycetota; Thermoleophilia; Solirubrobacterales; Solirubrobacteraceae
Description: bacterial SSU rRNA
Rfam family: Bacterial small subunit ribosomal RNA
Source: RNAcentral
UGGGGAAUCUUGCACAAUGCGCGAAAGCGUGAUGCAGCAACGCCGCGUGGGGGAAGAAGGCCUUCGGGUUGUAAACCCCUUUCAGUUGGGACGAAGCUUCGCCGGUGAAUAGCCGGCUGGAGUGACGGUACCUUCACAAGAAGCCCCGGCUAACUACGUGCCAGCAGCCGCGGUAAUACGUAGGGGGCAAGCGUUGUCCGGAAUCAUUGGGCGUAAAGCGCGUGUAGGCGGCCCGGUAAGUCCGCUGUGAAAGUCGGGGGCUCAACCCUCGGAUGCCGGUGGAUACUGUCGGGCUUGAGUACGGAAGAGGCGAGUGGAAUUCCUGGUGUAGCGGUGAAAUGCGCAGAUAUCAGGAGGAACACCAAUUGCGAAGGCAGCUCGCUGGGACGUUACUGACGCUGAGACGCGAAAGCGUGGGGAGCAAACA